GGGCGAGUGGCGGAAUGGCAGACGCGCUGGCUUCAGGUGCCAGUGUUCGCAAGGACGUGGGGGUUCAAGUCCCCCCUCGCCCACAA
RNAcentral lists this transfer RNA (86 nucleotides) under Acidimicrobiales bacterium mtb01. Its description in RNAcentral is "tRNA-Leu". It matches the Rfam family "tRNA". From Rfam's summary of the family: Transfer RNA (tRNA) molecules are approximately 80 nucleotides in length. Their secondary structure includes four short double-helical elements and three loops (D, anti-codon, and T loops). Further hydrogen bonds mediate the characteristic L-shaped molecular structure. tRNAs have two regions of fundamental functional importance: the anti-codon, which is responsible for specific mRNA codon recognition, and the 3' end, to which the tRNAs corresponding amino acid is attached (by aminoacyl-tRNA synthetases). tRNAs cope with the degeneracy of the genetic code in two manners: having more than one tRNA (with a specific anti-codon) for a particular amino acid; and 'wobble' base-pairing, i.e. permitting non-standard base-pairing at the 3rd anti-codon position. RNAcentral also lists the same sequence under 1 other name. Lineage: Bacteria; Bacillati; Actinomycetota; Acidimicrobiia; Acidimicrobiales. The record is from RNAcentral.